AGCUGAAUUGUUAUCGCGUCCCGAUUGGAAUCGGGAAGGCCGCAGGUUCGAAUCCUGCC
RNAcentral lists this transfer RNA (59 nucleotides) under Flavobacterium sp. B183. RNAcentral's name for it is "tRNA-Pro". The record is from RNAcentral. Lineage: Bacteria; Pseudomonadati; Bacteroidota; Flavobacteriia; Flavobacteriales; Flavobacteriaceae.